UACGGGGGGGGCAAGCGUUGUUCGGAAUUACUGGGCGUAAAGGGCUCGUAGGCGGCCAACUAAGUCGGAUGUGAAAUCCCCAGGCUUAACCUGGGAACUGCAUCCGAUACUGGAUGGCUUGAAUUCAGGAGAGGGAUGCAGAAUUCCAGGUGUAGCGGUGAAAUGCGCAGAUAUCAGGAGGAACACCGGUGGCGAAGGCGGAUCUCUGGGCCUUACCUGACGCUGAGGCGCGAAAGCUAGGGGAGCGAACAGG
RNAcentral lists this ribosomal RNA (253 nucleotides) under uncultured bacterium. RNAcentral's name for it is "partial 16S ribosomal RNA". It matches the Rfam family "Bacterial small subunit ribosomal RNA", at positions 524 to 776 of the family's 1533-position model. The record is from RNAcentral.